GGGCUCCAGCUGCCUCUUCCUCUAGCCAAGGCGGAGCGUGGGCUUUGGCCAAAGAUUCUCGCCACGCUUCCAUAAACACUACAGCUCAUGCAGGGCAGCUGGGAAGAGCCUCCAAGGCAGACCCUCCUGGGUUGGGACGCGCAGAGCCAGGGUCUCAAACCACGACCAGAUGGACCGCUGCCUCUUUCUGUAAACAAGGUCACGGGAGCUCAGCCUGGCCUUUGUCCACGCCAUCCUCCGCUGUCUGCGGCCACCUCCACCCUCUGCCGACAGCGUGGGCGCCUCGCCGAGGAGGCUGAGGACGUUCACCGACCGGCCCAUUACAUUAGAGGCUGCUGGCCGCCGACGCAGACCCCUGGCCUCGUGGACCAGCAAGCACGAGGGGCGGUUUUGUUUCUGGUGAGCGCCCGCCCUACAGGUGUCUGGUGAAAAGAUUCCGUGUCGCAUCCUGCGGCAAAGGAGCCAGCUGCCGUGGCAGAAGGGGGCACAACCAGAAGAAAAGAGCCUUCACUUGCCUGGACACCCAGGACACCCAGCCCGCAGCCAGGCAUACCACGGUGCUAUUAUGUCUCCUGCUGGCUACAGACAACGUCACAGGAAGACAUCGUCAGGAGCCUGUGUCUGUGAGGAAAGAAAGCGAAAGACACCAUCAGGUACCGCAAAAACAGCCCUGGCCCAGGUCAGGGACUGUUUUUUGUUCUCCGGAGACAUCUCCAGCCUGGCUUUGUGCCACCUGCCCAUCAAAGAUGACGCAUACCUGUCACCACUGCCCAUCCCUGACACACCCAAUCCACAGCCAACAUCUGCUUCUUCACGGCCUGCCCUGUCAGCCAACACAAGCCCACUCCUGUAACGAGUCCUCCUGCCCUUCUCUACCUAGAGGCCUCAUUGCACAGCAUUUCCCAAGACGUGCAGGCAACCUUUCGCUCCAGCAGGUAAGAAACCUGGCACUGGCUGUUGGCAGGUGCCUUCCUGGCAGGUUUGGCAGGUGGGCAUCCAUACAGGUGACAGUUCUGUCGAAGGCAUCACUGUCACAUGGCAUGGUGGCCAUGCAUCCCGUCCCCUCUCACGUCCAGAUCCCGAAGACAGUGCCGCAUCAUUCUGAUGGGCAGCGGGCUGUUCCUGGGACCCUCCAGACCCUCGGACUACUUAUUUGAAGUCUAAGAUAGAGCUGCCGCGACAUUUUGGCUGUGAAUUAGUGACCAUUUGGGGUAAUAUUAGUCUAACGUUUGGACAGUGACAAAGACAGGGACCAAGGUCUACAGCCCCAGCAGUUCCCACAGGGCUGAGACUGGAGAAGCACUGGAAGCUGACUCGCAGAUCACCUGAAGGGAGCGUCCAGGCAAGCAGUCGUCCCCCGCCUGGGAGCCACCCCAGGAGGCCCGCCGCCCCCUCGGAGCUGGGAGGUGGGAAUCGCCCGCCCACUCUGCCACCCAGGCUGUGCUACCAGCAGGGAAGCUGUGCCCAGCCAUGAUAUCAGGUGGCUGAGCCCCAUCUCCAGGCCUGAGCCUGGCCUGGAAGCCUCAGUCCUUAGGGCCUGGUGCUGGGGCCCCAAUUCUGAGGUGGGCAUCAGUGGUGAGUCCUGGCUACGGCUCCUUCCUAAGUCAGACCCUGCGAUUGUCUUGAGGAGCAGAGCCAGGGGCAGAGAGACACCUCUCCCCAGCAUGGCUGAGAAUGUAAGGCAGGAGGCUCCUCCCCUCCCUCCAGGUGAGCAGCAGGCAAGAGGCUCGGGGCAGAGGGGUCAGGCGCUCAGGGGAAUGUCUCCCGAAGGCUUGGGGACCACGAGCCAGGCUGACCUCCAGCCCAAACAGGACAUGAAAGCAGAAGGCAAGGACGGCUGGGGCUGACUCCGGCUGACCACCAUCCCCAGCCCCACUCACAGCACUGCUGAAACCCAGACGGGCUGGCUCUCCCCAUCCCCCACGGCAAGGCUCUGGGGUGACCCCUGCUGUCUGGGGCAAGUGGAGACUCCCAUGGCCACAAAGCCACAGAGAUGACCGGCUCCCCGUGUGAGACAGCCUUGCACAGGCUGAUUCUGACAGGCAGUGUGGGCUCCCAUGUCCUCAGGGCCAUGGCUGGGAUGACGGUUGCAGAAGCCAGAAGGUCCCUGACCUCCAACAUCUUCCUGUGUAGCUGAGGAUGCUGAAAGGGGCCCAUGGUUGUGCCCUGUGGGGCGGAGUGCUCCGCUGAUGCUCUGGGCAGGAUUGUGGGGGGUGGUACAGGAGGAGGGGAAAGAAGGGGAGAGGAGAGAAGAGGGGAGGGGAGGGGAGGAGAGAGGAGGGAAGAGAGGGAGGAGAUCUGCAAACAGUGCAGGGGCUGGUGCGCCUGGGGGAAGAGUAGGGCAGGGCAAUGAACCUGGGCCUCCCCCAACUCCUUACUCCCCUCACCCAGGCUCACCAGAGGCUGUCGAGAGCACCCACCCUGCUCCCUCGCCUCAGGCGUCCCCAGCACAUUUCGAAGCCCCGCAGCCAGCAAGAGUCCCUCGGGACUGCCUCCCGCCUGGGCUUCUCUCCGGAACCCACUGCCCGGUUGUUAGGGAAGCAUCUGCGCUAAUCCCACAGCUCAGCCAUGCCAGAUCCUCAGAGCGGGAGUGAAUGGAUCCUGAAACCCACGGCUGCUGUUGGGGGAGGAGGGGACCUUGGGGUUGGCUCCCAGCCCCUCUCUAGCCCUUCCUCUGAGGAACCAAGCCACGGGGGUCACGGACAGGGGAUUGGGCCACUCAGCUCAGCCAGCCUUGAGUGUGAGGACCAUGGGAGGCACCAUACCUGUCUGAGCCUGGAGAGGGCUUCCUAGGAGGAGGUGUCACCAGGCUGAGCCUUGAGGGUUGAGUUGGUCCAAUAAGUGGGCAGCCCGAUAGAUGGCGGAUGGCUUGGUCUGCCCAGCAUCUAGAGAUCGAAGGCCAGAAGUGGUACAUGGUGGGAGUGGCUUGAAAGCAGCUCUGCUUCCACCCGUGAGGACAGUGGUAUUCAGACCUCUCACUGUGGGAAUCUUCAUUAAACAAAAGCUCACCUGGAGUCCCUGUCCAUGAAAGAAUGGAACAGAUGAUCACCGCCACCCACUGUGUGCAGCUCUGUGCCAGGCUGUGCUGAACCCUGGAAAUGCUUGCCAUGGCCUGUCGCACCAGCCAUGCACCCUUCUGCAGAUGAAGAAGGUGAGGCACAGAGAGGGAGCUUCCCCAGGGUGAGCAGGGCAGGGUGCGUGGCCUCUCUGCUGCACCACCCCUCCCUGGAACAGCUCCUAAGUGGAGUGGGAAUUCUGCAGAAUCCCCAGGACCUGGCCAGCAACAGAGGAAAGAGUAGUCAGACGGGAGACAGAGAGGGCUGGGGGCUGAGGGUACUGGGGCCGUCGGGGCACGGCCUGGCCAAUAAGGAGUCAGGCCACCCGCCCUGCCCCUCUGCCACCUGGCUUGACGAGCUGGAGGGCUGUUGCUUGUUGGGCUGGUUUCAGGUUUUCAUUUCUUAAGGAGAAUCGGGGUGAUGGGCAAUGUGUGGAGCAAAAGGAAGGCAGAAAGGCAGGUGGGCGGAGUGGGGAGACUGUGGGGCGUGCAUGCUGCAGGGCCGCCCUCCCCGACCUGCAUGCAUCUGGGCUGGCUGGGGAGUUCCAGGGACAGCAGGCCGGCUGCCCUUCAGGGGAACCUGUAGACCCUCGGCCAGCAGCCCCCACUCUCCUUCCCUGCUGGACACCGGAGUCUGAGCCAAUAAGCUGGACCUGCCCUGGGCCUCGGGGUCCAAAGAGGCCUUUCAGGGAGGGCUGACUGCGUGUGGCCUGAACACACAGUCCUGGCAGCUGCAGCUGGUGGGGGGCAGGUUCCUGGGCCUGGCAGGGUGGGGGGGGUGUGGCAACCUCUGUGAUGUGCUGCACAGAGGCCCCUCAGGACUGAGGCACACAUGGCUCACCAGCCUGCUCAUGACCAAAGACCCCUCCGCACAUCACCUUUGGUGACGCAGCUCAGCGGAGGCAGCUGUGUCCAGAGACUAUCCCAGGGUGGUCAGCUCCAAAGGUCAUCUCAGCUCCAGAGCAUCCCGGGGUCACAGUGAAGUCGCUGCCUCGCCUGCCCUUUUUCGCGUGGUGUUCCCAAGAACACCUGGGGAAACCCCUGCGUGCAAACUCCAGUCCCAGAGGCGGCAGCCCCCUGGGGGACAGCAGGUGGGAGGGUGGCUCAGUGCCGGGCCGAGAGGGCCUGAGGGUCUGCUCACCUGGCCAGCAGCCACAGUGCAGCAGCAGGACUAGCCUCGAGACCCCAGCCAGGCCGGCCUCCAGGAGACAGGAGGUGAGGAGAGCAGCGCCCCCUCCCUCUGCUGGUGCAAACCUCGGGAGGUCCAGGGAUGUCGGGAAGACACACGCCCUUCUGUGAGCCAUGGGGGUGGAGGGGCGUGGGUGAUGCCGCAGGCUGGCACCGGUGGGCCCGGUCAGGAACAAGUCCAUCUGACAGCCAGAGGGCAUAGGAGAGGCUCUGAGAGCAGGGCCCGUGGCACCUCCUCCACCCCUGAGAGGGUCUCCUGACCACUGGUGCCCAUCUCUGCCCUCUCCUGUGCUCUCUGGGUGGCAAGGUCGGGAAGCCUGACAUUCCCCAGACCUCCUUGCUGACGGGGCCAGGACAUGGGUGGGGAGGUGGGGGCUGACCUUCCCCAGGGCCAGGUGAGGGCCCCACGCAUGGCUUCUCUGUUCGGGCUCCAGCGAGGUCAGGCCUUGCGUGCUGUCGUCUAGAUGGCUGUUCUGGGGAGGCAGCCCCGCGUUACGCUGGUGUCCUGGGUGCUAGACUCUGCACUCCACCCCCCUGCCUCAGAGCAGGACCCGUUCAGGCCAGGCAAGGCACUGCAGCUGCGCUGGGCUGACCUGGAGGCCACAACCGGCCUCAGAGCCCCCAUAUUCCUUUCCCAGGCCUCCCAAACGUCUCAGGUCUUACUCCCAUUCUGCUUGAGGAAGUUUCUUUUCCCUGCACUGACCCCUGAUGAUACACUCUCCCACACAGAAGACUAGAGAUGUAUGCUGAGGAAAAAUUCCACAGGGCCUGCAGAUGGUGGGGACUCCAGGGACACCAGGCACAAAAGCAGGUGCCACUGGCUCCCAACUGAGUGUAGGAGCUUCAGUGAAACACCUGCCCACGGUCAGUACCGAGGCUCCUUCUACCCAGACCCGCUUCUCCCUCAGACCACCUGCAGCCAGGCUCCACCCCUAGCAGGAACAAGAAGAACCUUCAUGAAGAAGCUAAACUGUUCCACAGAAAAGGCUCACAGACACUGGCAGCCCGGCCAGCUGCCCCCUCGCCCCAUGACCGAUGCUACCUCCUGGCUGCCCAGGCUGACCGCAGCUCUCUCCUGGACCAUUGGAGCCUGGAUGGCCAGGGAUGGAAGAAGCUGCCUGAGCAUCUUCAGCAAGGAAGGAAGGUCAAGGAAGGAAGGAGGGAGGGAAGGAAGGAAGGAAAGAAGGAAGGAAGGAAGGAAGGAAGGAAGGAAGGAAGGAAGGAAGGAAGGAAGGAAGGAAGGAAUCAGAACAAAGGAAAACGAGGAAACCAGAUGAGACAGAGUUCACAGGGAGCAGAGGGGACUUGAAAACAUGUGUCAGCAGAACCCGCCCAGCAAUGAAAUGAAGGAAGCAGAGUGCAGCCGUUUAAAAGUCACCCCGCCGGGGAGGACACUGCAGAGUGCUCACACAUCGCAGGCCCCAUCCAUGUGGAGCCCCAGAAAAUGCAAAGUGGGGGAUGCAGCCAAUCAGUGGAGGGGCCACAGGGCAGGGGGAGCUCUGGGGACGACAGCACGGUGACAGGCGACGGGCGGAGGCAUUGGUCCAACGUAUCACGCUGUGCACCUUAAGUACAGCUUACUGUGCAGAAGUUAUACCCCAAUACAGUUGUUUAAAAAUGAAAUAAAAAGCCAACCGUAAGUGACGUCCCCAGAGAGACCUGAGAAGACGGGGCAUCACAAAGUGAGAACAGGAUAGUAUUUUUAAAAAGGAAUGACCAGGCUGGGCGCAGUGGCUCACGCCUGUAAUCUCAGCACUUUGGGAGGCCAAGACAGGAGGAUCACUUGAGGUCAAGAGUUCAAGACCAGCCUGGGUAACAUGGGGAAACACUGUCUCUACUAAAAAUGCUAAAAAUAGCCAGGUGUGGUGGUGGGCGCCUGUAAUCUCAGCUACUUGGGAGGCUGAGGUGGGAGAAUUGCUUGAACCCAGGAAGCGGAGGCUGCAGUGAGCCGAGAUCACGCCAUUGCACUCCAGCCUGGGUGACAAGAGUGAGACCUCAUCUCAAAAAAAUAAUAAAAAUAAAUAAAUAAAUAAAAAGGAAUGACCAAAAACCAAGAAAGGACUCUUGAAUAAUCACUGGAAUAAAAGUUUAGUAAAACACUUGGAAAAUAAAGAUGAGAAGAUAUCCCCAGAAGGCAGAACAGAAGCUCAAAGAGAUGGACAAAAGGAAACAAAAAAUGAAUCAAUAAGGAACGGAAGGUCGGUCUAAGAACUCCAAACUCCGGCUCACAGGGGGAGGAAAUUAUCCGAGAAGGGAAUCAAGCCCAGACAGCUGGGGUCCUCCGAUUGGAAGAUACACCGCGUUCCCAGCACAGAAACGGAGUGAAAUUCCAGCCUGGUGUGCAUCGUAGUGAAAUCCUCACGCUCUCAGUGUAAAUACAUAUUUACCCUAAAAGCUUCCAGACUGGGAGAAGCAAACAGACAGCACAGAGCACUAAGAAUCCAAUGACGAGAACCUAAGUAGACACCCGUGUGCCUGACCGGAAGCCUCUCGGUUCUGGGCAGUGUGCUGGGUCCCCUGCCAGUCCUGGGUCCGUCCUCAGCCGUCAUCUGGACCUUCUGCUCGUCAGUGGCUGCAGAGGGCUGUCACUUUCUGGGAGGCAGCUUGCCGUCUGCUAACAGCCACAGUUCCCCUGCUGUUCCCAAGUGCUUUGAAUUGCCGAGCCCUUGCUAGCCUGCAUCCAACUCCAGAAUCUCCCCAGGAUGACUGUGGUCCCCAUACAGAACGUGUCCCUUGCCAGAUACAGCCCCCCAGGUGUUCACUAGCAAGGGAGGAUGUGCUUCUGUGUUCCCACGUUCCAGACCCUAUACUCCUGUUGAUGCAGCCUCAACUGGAAUCGACUUCUGAUGCCUGCUCUUUGCUAAUCAAUGGUUUUGCUAGUUAAUGGUGACUCUGUGGUGAUGAGUGUGUGGGCUGCUCCUAAGCCCUUUGGGGUCUGGGCCUGGCCUCAUUUGAGAAAGAGGAUUUCUGCUUGGCCUGGCCCAGCCCAAAGGCCAGACUCGGAUGUGGGUGCUCAGAGUGUGUUAGUUGUGACCGGAGCUCUGAGUCAGUUCUUGGGCGCCUGACUGGUGGUGCUUUUGCCUCUGUUUCCUCUCAAUGUCCUUGGAUUUUUGUGAAAGUCCAACAGCCUCCACUGUGCUGGGAGCCAGGAGGGGAUAGGAGGGAGAGUGGGUGUGUGUAGUCCCUGUCCCAGCCAUCCACUCUGGAGGGGCUGUAUCCUGAGAGCCAGGGCGGGGCAGUAGUGCCCCGAGACUCUGUGCACCCCCCAGGGCUGUGGGGGGUCCUUGGAGAGCUGAGGGCUCCUCCGUCCACCACCAAGUAGCCCCCACACCAGGACCUGCUGCAGAGGCUCUGGAAGAGCACCGUCUGCCUCGCCCACUGCUGUGCUCUACCCCACCCUGGCAAGGACUUCCCGAAGGGCACAGACAGGGGCAGGGUGGGGCUCUGCCAGACCAGGCACGGUGCCUCUGCAGACAGCACCCCUCUCUGUGCCUUGGAGCCCCGAGGGAGCCUCAGAAUCCUUCUUGACACAGGGCUCUCAAAAGCUACCACCUGGCCAGAGUUCACCUUUCCAUCUAAAGCUCUUUGCCACUGCUGGUCUAUGUCGGCCAUCUGAGUGCCCCCUCAGGUGGGUAAGACUGGAGCCGAGUCCCAGGCCCAGUUCUUCCUGUCUCCCCAAACCCCAAACCUGGCUGGGGACAAGACUGGACAUCUGUGCUCAGUCCUGGCUCAGCUGGUCAGCCUCGCAGGAAUCCAUCCCGGGGUAGGGAUUGUUCCAUGGACUCCUCCAUCUCUUGGAAAUGAAAGUCCCAGGGGGCCAGGGUGGUAGAAGUCAGGGAUGUGGGAACUAUCUGCUUGGCUGUGCCCUGGACAAAGCCAUGGGGCGGGCCCCAGAAAAGCUGGGUUUUGGUGACAGCAGGAGGUGUUUUGGGGCCGUGGGAGCAGGUCUGGAGGACCAGGGCAGGUGCAAGAGUCCUGAGGAAGCCCUGAAUAGGGGAUAUGGGGCCAGUGGCAGGGCCAGGACCCAUUCCAAGGGUUCCUGUAACACAGGAGGGUCACCGGGCUGGGCGGUGGGGGCAGGAUGGAGAGAGGAGAGGGUGCAAGCCCAAGUGGCCUGCCCUCAUUAUCACUCAGGUGUGUCCCCCAUCCCUGCUCCACCAGUAACUGUUGGUCACCUUCAUGGGCCUUUCCAGAAUGGUGUGACCUGGUCCCGCCUGGUGCAGAUCUAGGGUUUGGGGAGAGUCACGGGCAGGCUGGGCAUGGCCUCUACAGAGGGCAACCGAGGGCUCGGGCCCCUGAGGAGGGGGAGAUGAGCAGGGAACCCCGUAGGGAGGCCUUCCAAGCAGAGGGCAGCCUGAGAGGCUUAGUGGGGUUGAGGUGAGCUCCUCAUGGGUGGGGCGGCAGCAGGCCUGGUCCUAGCUAGGCAGUGUGCCCCAUGAUGGUGAAUGCACGAACAGAAGGGGGAGGGUGGGGAAAGGCUGGUGCCGUGACCACAGGCCAUGCUGCAGGACUGGACACAGCCAGGCCUGGGAGCCAGGUGUGUGGUUUUCAAGACCCCCUCAUUCCAUGCAGACGGUUGUGGGGAGGAGGGGAGAGGGAGCUGCUGGAAUGUUCCAGGCCUGGAUGUGUGUGCAGUGGCAGGGCAGACCCCCAGGACCUGGGCACCAGAAAUGAUGUGGGCUCUGAUACGGUCACGUUGUUUCCUGACUUUGGUGUUUGAGGAUCACCAAAGCCCUGGAAAGACCUGGCUCAGCCAAGGGCCAUGGGUGCUGUGGGGAGGGGAGAGAACAGAGAGGGAGGAGCCCAGGGCUGCUGGUCCCCUGACCCCCCACCAAGUACACCCUGGCUCCCUGAGCUGGUUCUGGGACCAACUUGUCCCUGAAGCCUCCAGCACCCCAGAGUUAGGGACAGGAGGGUUUCCAGCUGCAGGCAGAAGCCUGGGGGCAUGCAUGGGCCAGGGAGCCAGACCACCUGAAGGCAGAGGGGGACAGAGGCCUGCAGAGCCUCUGGAAUUGGGACCACACUGCCCAGUCCUGUGCUACCUCUGCAGGCCACAGGAAAUGCAGGCCCCGCAAAACAAGAACCCAGGGCCUCUGAAAAAUCAGGAAGCUCAGGACAGUGGUGUGUUAAAGUAGGUAGAGCCCAGCUGAGCACAGGGCCUCCUGGGCAUGGCUGUCCUGGGCACGGGGCCCUGUAGAGUGCAGGCCCUCCUGGGCAUAAACACUCCUGGAUAUGGGCUCUCCUGGGCAUAGGCCCUCCUGGGAAUGGACCCUCCUGGGCAUAGACCAUCCUGGGCAUGGACCCUACUGAAUAUGGGUCUUCCUGGACAUAGGACCCUCCUGGGCCUGGGCCCUCCUGGCAUGGACUCUCCUUGGUUGGCAUGGACCCUACUGGUCAUAGACCCUCAUGGUCAUGGAUCCUCUUGGGCAUGGGCCUUUCUGGGCACAGGGCUCUGCUGUGUGUGGACCCUCCUGUGAGUAGGCCCUUGUGAACACUCUACUGGCCAUGGGUCCUCCUGGGCAUGAGCCUUCCUGGGCAAAGGCCCCUGGACAUGGACUCUCCUGGGUAUGGACCCUCCUAAGCAUGGACCCUCCUGGGCAUGGACCUUCCUGGGCAUGGAGUCUCCUG
This is an RNA transcript of Symphalangus syndactylus (siamang), 9871 nucleotides long. RefSeq lists it as uncharacterized. The record is from RefSeq and is a predicted model, not a curated record. Lineage: Eukaryota; Metazoa; Chordata; Mammalia; Primates; Hylobatidae.